AACGAACGCUGGCGGCAUGCCUAACACAUGCAAGUCGAACGAGACCUUCGGGUCUAGUGGCGCACGGGUGCGUAACGCGUGGGAACCUGCACUUAGGUUCGGAAUAACUCCCCGAAAGGGGUGCUAAUACCGGAUAAUGUCUUCGGACCAAAGAUUUAUCGCCUUUGGAUGGGCCCGCGUUGGAUUAGCUUGUUGGUAGGGUAAAAGCCUACCAAGGCGACGAUCCAUAGCUGGUCUGAGAGGAUGAUCAGCCACACUGGGACUGAGACACGGCCCAGACUCCUACGGGAGGCAGCAGUGGGGAAUAUUGGACAAUGGGCGAAAGCCUGAUCCAGCAAUGCCGCGUGAGUGAUGAAGGCCUUAGGGUUGUAAAGCUCUUUUACCCGGGAUGAUAAUGACAGUACCGGGAGAAUAAGCUCCGGCUAACUCCGUG
RNAcentral lists this ribosomal RNA (433 nucleotides) under uncultured bacterium. Its description in RNAcentral is "partial 16S ribosomal RNA". It matches the Rfam family "Bacterial small subunit ribosomal RNA", at positions 29 to 507 of the family's 1533-position model. The record is from RNAcentral.